Molecule: ribosomal RNA, 691 nt
Filed under: uncultured bacterium
Lineage: Bacteria
Description: bacterial LSU rRNA
Rfam family: Bacterial large subunit ribosomal RNA
Source: RNAcentral
ACCCAGGGAACUGAAACAUCUAAGUACCUGGAGGAAAAGAAAUCAACCGAGAUUCCCUUAGUAGCGGCGAGCGAAAGGGGACCAGCCCUAAACCUCUUUUAUAUUUAAUUGAACACUCUGGAAAGUGUGGCCAUAGUGGGUGAUAGCCCCUUAAAUGAAAAAUAUAUUAGAGUUAUUCGAGUAGGACGGGACACGAGAAAUCUUGUCUGAAUAUGGGGGGACCAUCCUCCAAGGCUAAAUACUCUCUACUGACCGAUAGUGAACUAGUACCGUGAGGGAAAGGCGAAAAGAACCCCGGUGAGGGGAGUGAAAUAGAACCUGAAGUUAUGUGCAUACAAGCAGUCGGAGCCCCCUUCGGGGGGUGACGGCGUACCUUUUGUAUAAUGGGUCAGCGACUUACUUUCAAUGGCAAGCUUAACCUUUUUAGGGGAGGCGUAGGGAAACCGAGUCUUAACUGGGCGACAUAGUCUUUGGGAGUAGACCCGAAACCGGGCGAUCUAUCCAUGGCCAGGGUGAAGGUUGGGUAACACUAACUGGAGGCCCGAACACACCUAUGUUGAAAAAUGGGGUGAUGAGCUGUGGAUAGGAGUGAAAGGCUAAUCAAGCUCGGAGAUAGCUGGUUCUCCUCGAAAUCUAUUUAGGUAGAGCCUCAUGUAUCACUGUUGGGGGUAGAGCACUGUUAUGGCUAGGG